UACAGAGACCUCAAACGUUGUCCGGAUUUAUUGGGCGUAAAGGGUCCGCAGGUGGUUUGGCGCGUCACGGGUCAAAUGUUUGGGCUCAACCCGAACACUGCUCGUGAUACGGCCGGACUAGAGGCUGGGAAAGGUACGCGGAAUUACCGGUGUAGUAGUAAAAUGCGUUAAUAUCGGUAAGAACACCAAAUGCGUAGGCAGCGUACUGGAACAGUCCUGACACUCAGGGACGAAAGCGUGGGGAGCGAAAGGG
This 253-nucleotide ribosomal RNA is filed under the name uncultured bacterium. Its description in RNAcentral is "partial 16S ribosomal RNA". It matches the Rfam family "Bacterial small subunit ribosomal RNA", at positions 524 to 776 of the family's 1533-position model. The record is from RNAcentral.